This 412-nucleotide long non-coding RNA is filed under the name Mytilus galloprovincialis (Mediterranean mussel). The record is from RNAcentral. Lineage: Eukaryota; Metazoa; Mollusca; Bivalvia; Mytilida; Mytilidae.
ACCCCAUGUCAGAUUUGCUCUAAAUGCUUUCGUUUUUGAGAUAUAAGCCAAAAACUGCAUUUGACCCCUAUGUUCUAUUUAAAGUAAGGGCGGCCAUGUUUUUUGACGGAUCAAAAAUCGAAGCACACACUUUGUGCAGGAUAAUCUAAGGAACUAUCAUGCUAAGUUUCAUCCAAAUCCAUUCAGUAGUUUCAGAGGAGAAGAUUUUUUAAAGUUAGCAAAUAUGAUGAACAAAUUGUGAAAAAUUGUCAUUAAAGGACAUUUACCCCUUAAUGGGUCAAUUGACAAUUUUGGUCAUAUUAACCUAUUUGUAGAUCUUACUUUGCUGAUCAUUUUUCCUGUUUACAGUUUAUCUUCAUCUAUAAUAAUAUUCAAGAUAAUGACCAAAAACUGCAAAAUUUCCUUAAAAUUA